This 1538-nucleotide long non-coding RNA is filed under the name Homo sapiens (human). Its description in RNAcentral is "HSALNT0272027". The record is from RNAcentral. Lineage: Eukaryota; Metazoa; Chordata; Mammalia; Primates; Hominidae.
AAAUGACAUAUGAUGUGGAGCAUCUUUUUAUAUGUUUGCAAUAUAUUUUUUAUUAUCUUUUGUUUAAAAUAUGUCAUAAACAUUUUAAGAGGCAGGGUGUUGUGGCUCAUGCCUGUAAUACUGCAAUUUGGGAGGCCAAGGCAGGAGGAUCUCUUGAGAUCACUAGUUCAAGACCAGCCUGGGCAAGAGAGCAAGACUCCGUCUACACAAAAAUUUAAAAAAUUAGCCAUGUACGGUGGUGUUUACUUGUAGUCUCAGCAACAUGGGAGGCUGAGGCAGGAGGAUCACUUGAGACUAGGAGGUUGAGGCUGAAGUGGGCUGUGAUCACACCACUGCAUUCAAGCCUGGGUGAUAGAGACCCUGUCUCUAGAAGAAAACAAAAAGAUCUAGAAGUAUUCAUAUAUUAAAUCUUUGGAAAGAGCAGGGCUAAACUAAUGUCCUAGAACAGGGGUCCCCAACCCCUGGGCCAUGGACCACUACCAGUCUGUUAGGAACCGGGCCACGUAGCAGGAGGUGAGCAGCAGGUGAGCAAGUGAAGCUUCAUCUGUGUUUAGAGCCACUCCCAUCACUCCCAUUACUGCCUGAUCUCCACCUCCUGUCAGAUCAUCAGCAGCAUUAGAUUAUCACGGGAGCACAAAUCUGCUGUGAACCGUGCAUGCGAGGGAUCUAGGUUGUGUGCUACUUGUGAGAAUCUAAUGCUUAAUGAUCUGUCACUGUCUCCCAUCAGCCCCAGAUGGGACCAUCUAGUUGCAGGAAAACCACCUCAGGGCUCCCACGGACUCUACCUUAUGGUUUUCCAGUUAAUAUGUGGACCAAAAAAGCACAACUGGACCAAUAUAUAAAAUAAACACACUCCUUUACUACAACAAUUCGGGAAACUAAAUUUUCAAUGAUGGAAGGAAUGGUUAUAUGGUUAAAACCAAAUGCUAAUGUUGGAUACUUUUAUUAAUUCAAUAAAUGAAUAUUCAUUUAUUUAUUUACUGAGCUCCUACUGUGUGCCAUGCACUAUUCUUGGUUCUUGACAUACUUCUAUGAACAAAGAAAUAUAGAGUUUACUUUCUAAUGUGGAUGAGAGGAAGGUAUAAACAACCAAACAACUAAGGAAAUACUUUCAUACUAUGUCGGGGGUGAAUUGAACUAAUAGAAAUUAAAGCAGAAUAAGAGGAUAGAGUGGCAUGGAAAGAUACAAUGUAACAGUAUGCAAAAAGCAAUGCACAACUUGGCCCGGAGAAGAAAAUUUCCAGACAAAUUAUAUAGAUAAGCCUUUCCUGAUGAUUAUAUUAUUUUUCCAGUCUUUUCCUGUGAUAGUAAAUUUUAUAUGUUAACUUGCCUAGGCUAAUGGAUGCCUAGAUGGCUGGUAAAAUAUCAUUUCUGGCUAUGUCUAUGAGGGUAUUUCAGCAUGAGAUGAGCAUUUAUUUGAAUUGGUGCAUGAGUAAAGCAUAUGGCCCUUCAUUUGCCCAAAUGUAAGUUUACAUCAUCCAAAUCAUUCAGGACUUGAAAAUGACUAAAAGACAAAAUAAGGUUAAAUUCACUCUCUG